RNAcentral lists this ribosomal RNA (1462 nucleotides) under uncultured organism. RNAcentral describes it as "SSU rRNA". It matches the Rfam family "Bacterial small subunit ribosomal RNA". The record is from RNAcentral.
UUGAACGCUGGCGGCAGGCCUAACACAUGCAAGUCGAACGGUAGCACAGAGAGCUUGCUCUCGGGUGACGAGUGGCGGACGGGUGAGUAAUGUCUGGGAAACUGCCUGAUGGAGGGGGAUAACUACUGGAAACGGUAGCUAAUACCGCAUAACGUCGCAAGACCAAAGAGGGGGACCUUCGGGCCUCUUGCCAUCAGAUGUGCCCAGAUGGGAUUAGCUAGUAGGUGGGGUAACGGCUCACCUAGGCGACGAUCCCUAGCUGGUCUGAGAGGAUGACCAGCCACACUGGAACUGAGACACGGUCCAGACUCCUACGGGAGGCAGCAGUGGGGAAUAUUGCACAAUGGGCGCAAGCCUGAUGCAGCCAUGCCGCGUGUAUGAAGAAGGCCUUCGGGUUGUAAAGUACUUUCAGCGGGGAGGAAGGCGAUAAGGUUAAUAACCUUGUCGAUUGACGUUACCCGCAGAAGAAGCACCGGCUAACUCCGUGCCAGCAGCCGCGGUAAUACGGAGGGUGCAAGCGUUAAUCGGAAUUACUGGGCGUAAAGCGCACGCAGGCGGUCUGUCAAGUCGGAUGUGAAAUCCCCGGGCUCAACCUGGGAACUGCAUUCGAAACUGGCAGGCUGGAGUCUUGUAGAGGGGGGUAGAAUUCCAGGUGUAGCGGUGAAAUGCGUAGAGAUCUGGAGGAAUACCGGUGGCGAAGGCGGCCCCCUGGACAAAGACUGACGCUCAGGUGCGAAAGUGUGGGGAGCAAACAGGAUUAGAUACCCUGGUAGUCCACGCUGUAAACGAUGUCGACUUGGAGGUUGUUCCCUUGAGGAGUGGCUUCCGGAGCUAACGCGUUAAGUCGACCGCCUGGGGAGUACGGCCGCAAGGUUAAAACUCAAAUGAAUUGACGGGGGCCCGCACAAGCGGUGGAGCAUGUGGUUUAAUUCGAUGCAACGCGAAGAACCUUACCUACUCUUGACAUCCACGGAACUUAGCAGAGAUGCUUUGGUGCCUUCGGGAACCGUGAGACAGGUGCUGCAUGGCUGUCGUCAGCUCGUGUUGUGAAAUGUUGGGUUAAGUCCCGCAACGAGCGCAACCCUUAUCCUUUGUUGCCAGCGGUUAGGCCGGGAACUCAAAGGAGACUGCCAGUGAUAAACUGGAGGAAGGUGGGGAUGACGUCAAGUCAUCAUGGCCCUUACGAGUAGGGCUACACACGUGCUACAAUGGCAUAUACAAAGAGAAGCGACCUCGCGAGAGCAAGCGGACCUCAUAAAGUAUGUCGUAGUCCGGAUUGGAGUCUGCAACUCGACUCCAUGAAGUCGGAAUCGCUAGUAAUCGUGGAUCAGAAUGCCACGGUGAAUACGUUCCCGGGCCUUGUACACACCGCCCGUCACACCAUGGGAGUGGGUUGCAAAAGAAGUAGGUAGCUUAACCUUCGGGAGGGCGCUUACCACUUUGUGAUUCAUGACUGGGGUGA